AGGGUUUGAUCAUGGCUCAGAACGUACGCUGGCGGCACGCCUAACACAUGCAAGUCGAACGAAGUAGCAAUACUUAGUGGCAGACGGGUGAGUAACAUGUAGGUAUCUACCCUUUGGCCUGGAAUAACACGAGGAAACUUGUGCUAAUACCGGAUAAGUCUUUACGGAGAAAGCUUUAUGCACCAUUGGAUGAGCCUGCACUUGAUUAGUUUGUUGGUAGGGUAAUGGCCUACCAAGACUUUGAUCAAUAGCUGAUUUGAGAGGAUGAUCAGCCACAUUGGGACUGAGACACGGCCCAAACUCCUACGGGAGGCAGCAGUGGGGAAUCUUGCACAAUGGAGGAAACUCUGAUGCAGCGAUGCCGCGUGAGUGAAGAAGGCCCUUGGGUUGUAAAGCUCUUUCGUCGGGGAAGAAAAUGACUGUACCCGAAUAAGAAGGUCCGGCUAACUUCGUGCCAGCAGCCGCGGUAAUACGAAGGGACCUAGCGUAGUUCGGAAUUACUGGGCUUAAAGAGUUCGUAGGUGGUUGAAAAAGUUGGUGGUGAAAUCCCAGAGCUUAACUCUGGAACUGCCAUCAAAACUUUUCAGCUAGAGUUUGAUAGAGGAAAGCAGAAUUUCUAGUGUAGAGGUGAAAUUCGUAGAUAUUAGAAAGAAUACCAAUUGCGAAGGCAGCUUUCUGGAUCAUUACUGACACUGAGGAACGAAAGCAUGGGUAGCGAAGAGGAUUAGAUACCCUCGUAGUCCAUGCCGUAAACGAUGUGUGUUAGACGUUGGAAAUUUAUUUUCAGUGUCGCAGCGAAAGCGAUAAACACACCGCCUGGGGAGUACGACCGCAAGGUUAAAACUCAAAUGAAUUGACGGGGACCCGCACAAGUAGUGGAGCAUGUGGUUUAAUUCGAAGAUACGCGCAGAACCUUACCAACACUUGACAUGUUCGUCGCGACUUUAAGAGAUUAAAGUUUUCGGUUCGGCCGGACGAAACACAGGUGCUGCAUGGCUGUCGUCAGCUCGUGUCGUGAGAUGUUGGGUUAAGUCCCGCAACGAGCGCAACCCUCACUUUUAGUUGCCAUCAUUUAGUUGGGCACUCUGAAAGAACUGCCAGUGAUAAGCUGGAGGAAGGUGGGGAUGACGUCAAGUCCUCAUGGCCCUUACGUGUUGGGCUACACACGUGCUACAAUGGUAUCUACAACAGGAAGCAAAACGGCGACGUUAAGCAAAUCCUUAAAAGAUACCUCAGUUCGGAUUGUACUCUGCAACUCGAGUACAUGAAGCUGGAAUUACUAGUAAUCGUGGAUCAGCGUGCCACGGUGAAUGCGUUCCCGGGUCUUGUACACACCGCCCGUCACACCAUGGGAGUUGGUUCUACCUUAAGGCAAGGUUUAAAACCCUUGACCACGGUAUAGUCAGCGACUGGGGUGAAGUCAUAACAAGGUAGCCG
RNAcentral lists this ribosomal RNA (1437 nucleotides) under uncultured bacterium. RNAcentral's name for it is "bacterial SSU rRNA". It matches the Rfam family "Bacterial small subunit ribosomal RNA". The record is from RNAcentral.